Molecule: long non-coding RNA, 1182 nt
Filed under: Mus musculus (house mouse)
Lineage: Eukaryota; Metazoa; Chordata; Mammalia; Rodentia; Muridae
Description: long non-coding RNA chr4:121130117-121131299
Source: RNAcentral
GAACAGGAUCUUAAAGACUAUUUUUGGUACUUGAGAAGUUCUUAUGGUACAAGUCAAGAAAGAUCUUCAAACCAACCCAUCGUAGGGCUUUGACAUUGUUCCUCUUAUGGACUGUGAAGCCCAAGUAGAAGUAAUGUUAUAGUGAUGUGUGACUGCUGCUCAUGGUGUGGGUUUAAACUUCUGAAUUCUAAGCAAAGCCCAAAUGACCCUUUGAAAGGCACACAUGUAUUUGUUGGGAGUUGUAUAGGGGAGACCACUGCACAGAGAAAUGGUGGAUGUCUUCAUUCCUGAACAAUCCAGGGCUUUUGUUACACUUGCAGGUGAUAAGGCCAUGCAGAUAAAUAAAGGAAUCAGCAAGCCUAUAUGCAACUGUACUGGCUAGUUUUGUGUCAACUUGACACCGCUGGAGUUAUCACAGAAAAAGGAGCUUCAGUUGAGGAAAUGCCUCCAUGAGAUCCAACUGUAAGGCAUUUUCUCAAUUAGUGAUCAAGAGGGAAAGGCCCCUUGUGGCUGGUAAUCUUGGUUCUAUAAGAGAGCAGGCUGAGCAAGCCAGGGGAAGCAAGCCAGCAAGGAACAUCCCUCCAUGGCCUCUGCAUCAGCUCCUGCUUUCUGACCUGCUUGAGUUCCAGUCUUGACUUCCUUUAGUGAUGAACAGCAAUGUGGAAAUGUAAGCUGAAUAAACCCUUUCCUCCCCAACUUGCUUCUUGGUCAUGAUGUUUGUGCAGGAAUAGAAACCCUGACUAAGACAGCAACCUAAACUGAAACACAACAGCAACAAUCAGAAGGAAGUGGAUGAUCUGAUGGUAACCCAGGUGGCUUUGGGAAUCAAGGUGGGCUUGGUAGAAGUAGAUGGGGGUGGAGCUGGCUUGGGAAAUAGCCGGGGUAGUGAUACAGUUGGGGAGAUGAAGUUUGGAGGCCAGUGAUGGGAUAUAUUGGGUGUGUGAUGGGCAUGUUGGCCAGAUGAGAAGCAGUCAGGCCCAUCCAGUAAUAACCAAAGCCAGGCCAGCAUGCAAAAGGAACCAUAUCAGCCUGUGGUUCUGGAAAUAGCUCCUACUGUGAUUCUAAUUCUGGUGCCUGUCUUGGCUGGGCAUUGGUGUCAAAUGCAGGAUCAGGCAGUGUCUUUGACUCUGAGGAAGAUUUACUUCAAGUGUAGAUUCUAAAUCGUCUGGCUGGAGAAUGUAG